UACGUAGGGGGCAAGCGUUAUCCGGAUUUACUGGGUGUAAAGGGGGCGCAGACGGCGAUGCAAGCCAGGAGUGAAAGCCCGGGGCCCAACCCUGGGACUGCUCUUGGAACUGCGUGGCUGGAGUGCAGGAGGGGCAGGCGGAAUUCCUGGUGUAGCGGUGAAAUGCGUAGAUAUCAGGAGGAACACCGGUGGCGAAGGCGGCCUGCUGGACUCCAACUGACGUUGAGGCCCGAAAGCGUGGGGAGCAAACAGG
RNAcentral lists this ribosomal RNA (253 nucleotides) under uncultured bacterium. RNAcentral's name for it is "partial 16S ribosomal RNA". It matches the Rfam family "Bacterial small subunit ribosomal RNA", at positions 524 to 776 of the family's 1533-position model. The record is from RNAcentral.